Long non-coding RNA from Phyllostomus discolor (pale spear-nosed bat), 1333 nucleotides. RefSeq lists it as uncharacterized. The transcript is spliced from 3 exons. NCBI's taxonomy places the organism in Eukaryota, Metazoa, Chordata, Mammalia, Chiroptera, Phyllostomidae. The record is from RefSeq and is a predicted model, not a curated record.
CUGGGGUCCCUUAGAGUUUAGGACACGCCCGCCUGUGGGGGAGGAAGGGGAGGGAAAAGUGCAGUCGUGCUCCAGGGAGGGAGAUUGUGCCCACCAGGACCCUAGGUGUGGAACCUUCCCCUGUAGGAACAGAGUUCAGGGGCUGGGGUGUGGGAUGGGAAAGAAAGACACAUUUCAGUCCUUGGAGCAAAGGUCUGAGAUUGGAAUGUGGGUACUUUGUAGGCACUCAGGUUUGGCUGUAGGAACACAUGACCGAUAAAUAACAUCCCAAGCAGAGGGUCUCUUGCUUGCUCUUCCUCUGAGUUUCUCUGUGGGAUGGUGAGGGGUGUUUUCCUCCAUUCACCCACUUCUCUGAUUCUCGGACACCAAUUGUGUUUCCUACAGCUCAGCUCAACUCCGACGUGAACUCCCUGGAGUCAGCCUCAGACCCCAUACGGUCAGGGUCCAUCCCACAAGACGGCCCUCCCCUCAGAGCAAGUCUCAAGUUCAGAUUCCCAUGUUACUUGCAGGUCUGUCCGAUUUGCCUACAAAAAGUAGGGGCUCCCCACAAAGUUCAUUAAUUUGCUGGAUCAACUCACAGAAGUCAGGAAAAUGCUGUGUUUACUGUACAUUUUAUUACAAACAAUACAAGUGAGCAGCCAGAUGAUGAGGGACAUGGGGUGAGGUGGGGAAGAGUCCCAAGUGCUCAAGUGUCUGUCACCACGGAGUUGGAAAGUGUCACCCCCAACUCCCAGCAUGGGGAGGGGUUCACUACUUCAGAAGCUCUCUGAACCCCAUUACUAGGGGGUUUUAUGGAGGUGUCACUAUGUAGACAGAUUGGCCAUUGGUGAUGGAACUGGAACCCCAGCCCCUCUCUCAGAGGCUGGGCAGUGAGGCUGAAAGUUCUGACCCUCUGAUCAAACUUGCUCUUUCUGGUGAUCGGCCCCCAUCCUGAAACUGUCCAGGACCUUCGGCCAAGCGCCAUCUCACUAGCAUCCUUGUCACUCAGGAGACUGCAACGGUUUUAGGAGCUCUGUGCCGGGAACCAGGGACAGUCAGACCUCAGUUCUCGAAUGUCUCCCAUCUGGAACAAUUAAAUUUGCGACAAAAAUGUUUAUGGAAAAUAUGUCUCAGUUGUCGAACAAAGUUUUGAUUCUUUACCUGACAACCCUUUCAGGCUGAUACCUGUAUGAUUGGUCACCUGUAUGACUGGGAUCUCAAACAAACCGCUUCUCGAACAGUAUUCUGGAAUGAAUUAAACCCGAGAAGUAAGGUUUUGCUGCAUUUCUGUAUCAGACCGCAGGUCUCUGACCACAGACCCGUGAGCAGGAAAGGGCAUCAGAGCAGACCGGAA